CAUUAGCUAGUUGGUAGGGUAACGGCCUACCAAGGCAACGAUGGCUAGGGGUUCUAAAAGGAUGAUCCCCCACACUGGUACUGAGACACGGACCAGACUCCUACGGGAGGCAGCAGUGAGGAAUAUUGGUCAAUGGUCGAGAGACUGAACCAGCCAUGCCGCGUGUAGGAUGACUGCCCUAAGGGUUGUAAACUACUUUUGUAUAGGAAGAACAGCAGAUACGUGUAUUUGUGUGACGGUACUAUACGAAUAAGCAUCGGCUAACUCCGUGCCAGCAGCCGCGGUAAUACGGAGGAUGCAGGCGUUAUCCGGAUUUAUUAGGUUUAAAGGGUGCGUAGGCGGGAUUAUAAGUCAGUGGUGAAAUCUUACGGCUCAACCGUAAAACUGCCAUUGAUACUGUAGUUCUUGAGUUUAGUCGAGGUAGGCGGAAUGUGUAAUGCAGCGGUGAAAUGCAUAGAUAUUACACAGAACACCGAUUGCGAAGGCAGCUUACUAGACUAUAACUGACGCUGAUGCACGAAAGCGUGGGUAGCGAACAGGAUUAGAUACCCUGAUAGUCCACGCCGUAAACGAUGAUCACUCGUUGUGUGCGAUAUAUUGUACGUGACUGA
This 611-nucleotide ribosomal RNA is filed under the name uncultured bacterium. RNAcentral describes it as "bacterial SSU rRNA". It matches the Rfam family "Bacterial small subunit ribosomal RNA", at positions 239 to 850 of the family's 1533-position model. The record is from RNAcentral.